Molecule: ribosomal RNA, 1050 nt
Filed under: uncultured Acinetobacter sp.
Lineage: Bacteria; Pseudomonadati; Pseudomonadota; Gammaproteobacteria; Moraxellales; Moraxellaceae
Description: bacterial SSU rRNA
Rfam family: Bacterial small subunit ribosomal RNA
Source: RNAcentral
GGAAGCGACAGCUAAACGAUUGAGUAUGGAGCGCGGUAGGGUGCACUGCACCUGAUUCCUAGCGGCGGAACGAAUGAGUAAUGCUUAGGAAUCUGCCUAUUAGUGGGGGACAACGUUCCGAAAGGGACGCUAAUACCGCACACAUCCUACGGGAGAAAGCAGGGGAUCUUCGGACCUUGCGCUAAUAGAUGAGCCUAAGUCGGAUUACCUAGUUGGUGGGGUAAAGGCCUACCAAGGCGACGAUCUGUAGCGGGUCUGAGAGGAUGAUCCGCCACACUGGGACUGAGACACGGCCCAGACUCUUACGGGAGGCAGCAGUGGGGAAUAUUCGACAAUGAGGGAGAGCCCUGAUCCAGCCAUGCCCGCGUGUGUGAAGAAGGCCUUUUGGUUGUAAAGCACUUUAAGCGAGGAGGAGGCUUACCUGGUUAAUACGUGGGAUAAGUGGACGUUACUCGCAGAAUAAGCACCGGCUAACUCUGUGCCAGCAGCCGCGGUAAUACAGAGGGUGCAAGCGUUUAUCGGAUUUACUGGGCGUAAAGCGCGCGUAGGUGGCUAAUUAAGUCAAAUGUGAAAUCCCCGAGCUUAACUUGGGAAUUGCAUUCGAUACUGGUUAGCUAGAGUAUGGGAGAGGAUGGUAGAAUUCCAGGUGUAGCGGUGAAAUGCGUAGAGAUUUGGAGGAAUACCGAUGGCGAAGGCAGCCAUUUGGCCUAAUACUGACACUGAGGUGCGAAAGCAUGGGGAGCAAACAGGAUUAGAUACCCUGGUAGUCCAUCCCGUAAACGAUGUUUAUUAGCCGUUGGGGCCCUUGAGGCUUUAGUGGCGCAGCUAACGCGAUAAGUAGACCGCCUGGGGAGUACGGUCGCAAGACUAAAACUCAAAUGAAUUGACGGGGGCCCGCACAAGCGGUGGAGCAUGUGGUUUAAUUCGAUGCAACGCGAAGAACCUUACCUGGCCUUGACAUACUGAGAACUUUCCAUAGAUGUAUUGGUGCCUUCGGGAACUGUGAUCCAGGUGGUGCAUACCGUCGUCAGCUGCUGUAUUUAGAUUCGC